This 711-nucleotide long non-coding RNA is filed under the name Mus musculus (house mouse). Its description in RNAcentral is "predicted gene, 47343". Lineage: Eukaryota; Metazoa; Chordata; Mammalia; Rodentia; Muridae. The record is from RNAcentral.
UUAUGGGUCCACAAACCAUAGUUUUAUGAUCAUCCUUCCAGAAUUAAAGGUUAAUUCUCUUAAAUAUUAGUUCUCACCCCAAUUACUAAGUUCAGUGCAUUCUUUUCUUUUCAGCUUCAUGAAUCAAUGAAUUCCACAACCAACCCAGAAAGCCUCCCUUGCAUCUUGCAUCUCCCAGUUUUGUCUAAGCUAACUUUACUGUCAGGUACAUUUUCUGUUCUGUUUUCUGCACUGUUGCUGCAAUACCAGCAGAGCUCCUGGACUCACCUGGAUGAAUCUCUGAAAGUGAGGAAGCCAUGGCCUCUCUUCAAUUUUGCAGUCACUGUUGGACAUUGCCCUUGUAGCAAGAGAGCACAUCUUCAGCCUAGAGCCUGCUAGUCACAUGCACUGAUCCUGUUUUCUUGGAGGCCUUUCCUUCUAGAGCCAUCCAGAGAUCUCCGACGUCUUCUUGAAUGGAUUUGAAUCUGAGAUUAGAGACAUGUUUUUACAGUGUCAUCUCCUAAUUACCAUCACAACUUUACAUGUGUGGGGGAAGCCGUGAGCCACCGAGGGACUAGGACCAAGAUGUAUCUCAGCCAAAGAAGCCCCCAACAAUUACUUCUGCCAGGUAUCCCAGAAACCCAAGAUUCCUGAAUCUUGAGGCAAUCUCUCAUAACUUCUAAGCAGAGAGAAAAAAAAUGUCUAUUUUCUCCGUCAAUUGACACAGAUUUU